RNAcentral lists this unclassified non-coding RNA (1525 nucleotides) under Penaeus chinensis. RNAcentral describes it as "jNK1/MAPK8-associated membrane protein-like, transcript variant X1". The record is from RNAcentral. Lineage: Eukaryota; Metazoa; Arthropoda; Malacostraca; Decapoda; Penaeidae.
UUUAGCGGAAUUCGCUCGACUCCCAAUGUUUACAUCUGUCGACGGAAGAUGGCUACGGGGAAGGUCCUCCUCCUCCUAGUUACGUGUGCGUUGUGUUUUACUGCAGCAAUAAAGGAAUCCAAAAGCUUUGCCUAUGAGAAAGGUAUAGUUGCAAAUUUAUCUCAUUGUCCAGGCCGCUACUGUGGCCGCACAAAACUUAGAAAUGAAUCAUGGUCAGCAUGUGGAGCUUGUGAGAGAGGAUUCCGAAGUAAUCCUUUAAGUGAGUGUAAAAAAUGUAAUGAUGAACCAAAAUUGUAUGACUGGCUCUACCUUGGCUUCAUGGGGUUACUGCCCCUGACCUUUCACUUGGGCUGUAUUGAUGCUGCAGCAAAGAGAAGAACGUUCACAAAAGAAGUAAUGGCACUUUAUGCAUCAGCUGUUGUUGAGGUGGCUGUUGCAGCAGUGGCCACUUUAUUAAUCACUGACCCAGUUGGAUCCUUCAACAUACGAUCUUGCACGGAACACGGAUUGGCAGACUGGUAUCCACUUUUUCAUAAUCCAAACCCAAACUAUGAGGGGGUUUUGCACUGUACUCAGGAGGCCGUAUAUCCUUUAUAUUCAAUGGUAUUUGUAUUCUACACAUUAUGUUUGAUGGUGAUGCUUCUGAUACGACCACUACUUUCCUCAAAACUUCUUCCUGGUAGAGGAAAAUCAGCAAUUUACUCUGCCUUGUAUUUCCUCCCAAUUUUGAUAUUCACCCAUGCUGUCGGAGCAGGGCUCAUAUACUACUCAUUUCCAUAUCUAGUCAUCAUCUUAUCUGUUGUGUCAAAUGCUGCACAUUUUGCUUUUCAAUUAGAUCAGUCAAUGCCGGGUCUUCUGCUGGGAUGUAUUCGAGAUAUACGAAACUUGGUCAUCUUAAUAGGCCACUGGGGCUUGCAUGCAUAUGGCAUUAUUGCUAUCAUGGUCCUAAAUGAGAAAGAUCUUUAUGGGUCUCUCUGUGCCUUGGUUCCCCUACCAGCAGUCUUUUACAUUCUUACAUCACGGUUUACAGAUCCUUCAAACAUGAGCUAAGGGUAGCGAGGAAGGUUGGUGCUGGAUAGAACUGCGACAUCCUGGCUGUGUUGACGAGGGUUCGCGAAGAGUUUGCGAGGCAGGUGAGCCGGAUUGGCGCGUGUGGCGAAGCAGAGUGCGUGGAUACAUCUUCAGUGACUUCGUCACGAGGAUAGCACAGGCAAACGGUCACCUUCGGACGCUGUGGAGAGCGUCACGGGAAGAUCGCCAGAAGCUGAGAAAGACUAGAAUAAUUGUCAGAGCAGAGCAAGCCGCCCCAGGAUGCCUACCAGUACGCCCGUAGAUCCAGUGAAGGACCAGGAACUCGCCAGAGCAGGUAUCAUUCGCCCCAUGAUGGACGGGCGUCGCAUCUUGCCUGGACGCCGCAGAUCCACUAAACCUCCAGGAGCUCGUCACCCGAAGAGGACGCUUCCUGCCGGACCCCCGUGAUCCUGACGAGGACAACAAGGACGUCGGGACGAGCACGCAGCCGAGA